Molecule: long non-coding RNA, 473 nt
Organism: Epinephelus fuscoguttatus (brown-marbled grouper)
Lineage: Eukaryota; Metazoa; Chordata; Actinopteri; Perciformes; Serranidae
Exons: 3
Source: RefSeq, a predicted model, not a curated record
UUGCAGAGAUAAGAGAAGCAUUCAAGGACAGAAUUCCUGAGGAUGUCAGUAUUGAACUUUUGAUGGCCUGUGGAAACAAACUGGUUUCCCCAAAGUUGCGUGAAGGCCAGGAACUGAAUGCCUUUAUGAUUCACAAGAUAUUCAAAUCAAAGGCGGUGUACAUUAGGCCAUCAAGCAAUCUUCCAUUUCCGUUUGACAGCACAGAUUCAGAGGACAGUUGUGUGGAGGCUGACACUACAUCAGCUUCUAGUGACCACAGAACUACCACUGCCAGUGAGACCAGUAACUGUAUGACUACAAGGGCCAGGAGAAACCAAAUUGCAUCAACACAGCAGAUUUCUAGUUAUCCUUGCACAAGAAGGGCCAGAGCUAACCAGCCCUCUGCAACACAGCAAGCGACCAGUGAUUCCAUGGCCAGAGCUAACCAGCCCUCUGCAACACAGCAAGCGACCAGUGAUUCCAUGGCCAGAGCU